This 225-nucleotide ribosomal RNA is filed under the name uncultured bacterium. RNAcentral's name for it is "partial 16S ribosomal RNA". It matches the Rfam family "Bacterial small subunit ribosomal RNA", at positions 524 to 742 of the family's 1533-position model. The record is from RNAcentral.
UACGUAGGGGGCAAGCGUUGUCCGGAAUCAUUGGGCGUAAAGCGCGUGUAGGCGGCUGAGUAAGUCUGACCGUCUGGAAAGCCCGGGGCUCAACCCGGGAGGCGGGUGGAUACUGCUCAGCUCGAGUCCGGAAGGAGGAGUGUGGAAUUCCUGGUGUAGCGGUGAAAUGCGCAGAUAAUCAGGAGGAACACCAAUGGCGAAGGCAGCACUCUGGGACGGUAACUG